RNAcentral lists this long non-coding RNA (236 nucleotides) under Homo sapiens (human). RNAcentral describes it as "HSALNT0226378". The record is from RNAcentral. Lineage: Eukaryota; Metazoa; Chordata; Mammalia; Primates; Hominidae.
AGCAAAUGCUCCUCCAGCAGCAAGCAGGAUUCAGCCUUUUAAGCUGGUCUUUCUCGCUCGGCCCUGAGGCCACCCCACACCUGCUUUGUUCCUGCAGGAAACAGCUCCGCUAGUUUCUAGAAACAUCUGAGACGCAGCUGACCUAACAGGUGGGAUUUCUGCCAGAGAGUGGAGCUUCCCGGGCCCCUCUUCCUGGGGAGAGGGUGGGGACCCACCUGAUGACCACGAUGAUGCCG